This 20-nucleotide microRNA is filed under the name Corchorus olitorius. Its description in RNAcentral is "sbi-miR15". The record is from RNAcentral. Lineage: Eukaryota; Viridiplantae; Streptophyta; Magnoliopsida; Malvales; Malvaceae.
UGACAGAAAAGAGCAAGCAC